Molecule: ribosomal RNA, 309 nt
Filed under: Triticum aestivum (bread wheat)
Lineage: Eukaryota; Viridiplantae; Streptophyta; Magnoliopsida; Poales; Poaceae
Description: partial small subunit ribosomal RNA
Source: RNAcentral
AUGAAUGUUGUUGCUGCGCUGAGUUACAAGAUCAGUAAUCAGAAAGUGAUUCAAACACGUACUACUGUUUUAUCCCCUGAAAGAGAUCUUGUUCGAACAAUUAGUACUUGUAUUUUCCGCUUAUUUACCUAUGGGAUGUUGUAUGAUUGUAAUUUUUUUUGGAACUGGCAAGGCAUCUCUCUUCCCUGGCACUGUCAGUUCCUUUUGGGUCUAAAUUAUGCCAGUAUUUCCUUUGGGUGCUUUGCCCAGGAGAGGUUACUUGUUGUCUUGUUGACUCAGUUUUCUCUAUGUCUGUCCGUCGGUCUCUGA